CGUGGGUAACCUGCCCAAGAGAUCGGGAUAACACCUGGAAACAGAUGCUAAUACCGGAUAACAACAGAUGAUGCCUAUCAACUGUUUAAAAGAUGGUUCUGCUAUCACUCUUGGAUGGACCUGCGGUGCAUUAGCUAGUUGGUAGGGUAACGGCCUACCAAGGCGAUGAUGCAUAGCCGAGUUGAGAGACUGAUCGGCCACAUUGGGACUGAGACACGGCCCAAACUCCUACGGGAGGCAGCAGUU
Molecule: ribosomal RNA, 246 nt
Filed under: uncultured Lactobacillus sp.
Lineage: Bacteria; Bacillati; Bacillota; Bacilli; Lactobacillales; Lactobacillaceae
Description: partial 16S ribosomal RNA
Rfam family: Bacterial small subunit ribosomal RNA
Source: RNAcentral